RNAcentral lists this ribosomal RNA (460 nucleotides) under uncultured bacterium. RNAcentral's name for it is "partial 16S ribosomal RNA". It matches the Rfam family "Bacterial small subunit ribosomal RNA", at positions 338 to 795 of the family's 1533-position model. The record is from RNAcentral.
CCUACGGGAGGCAGCAGUGAGGAAUAUUGGUCAAUGGACGAGAGUCUGAACCAGCCAAGUAGCGUGAAGGAUGACUGCCCUAUGGGUUGUAAACUUCUUUUAUAAAGGAAUAAAACGAGGCACGUGUGCCUUUUUGCAUGUACUUUAUGAAUAAGGAUCGGCUAACUCCGUGCCAGCAGCCGCGGUAAUACGGAGGAUCCGAGCGUUAUCCGGAUUUCUUGGGUUUAAAGGGAGCGUAGAUGGGUUGUUAAGUCAGUUGUGAAAGUUUGCGGCUCAACCGUAAAAUUGCAAUUGAUACUGGCAGUCUUGAGUACAGUUGAGGUAGGCGGAAUUCGUGGUGUAGCGGUGAAAUGCUUAGAUAUCACGAAGAACCCCGUUUGCGAAGGCAGCUUACUAAACUGUGACUGACAUUGAUGCUCGAAAGUGUGGGUAUCAAACAGGAUUAGAUACCCCAGUAGUC